UUGAUGGGAGGUGCUGUGAUUGGUUAGCGCGCUGGACUCCGGAUCGAGCGGUCCGGGUUCGAGCCCUGGCCAGGAGUAAA
This is a non-coding RNA of Desmophyllum pertusum, 80 nucleotides long. Lineage: Eukaryota; Metazoa; Cnidaria; Anthozoa; Scleractinia; Caryophylliidae. The record is from the annotation of a GenBank genome assembly.